UACGGAGGGUGCAAGAGUUAUCCGGAUUUACUGGGUGUAAAGGGUGCGCAGGCGGAUAUGUAAGUCAGUGGUGAAAUCUCCGGGCUUAACCCGGAAACUGCCGUUGAUACUAUAUAUCUUGAAUGCUGUGGAGGUAAGCAGAAUAUGUCAUGUAGCGGUGAAAUGCUUAGAGAUGACAUAGAAUACCUAUUGCGAAGGCAGCUUACUACGCAGAUAUUGACGCUCAUGCACGAAAGCGUGGGGAGCAAACAGG
This 253-nucleotide ribosomal RNA is filed under the name uncultured bacterium. Its description in RNAcentral is "partial 16S ribosomal RNA". It matches the Rfam family "Bacterial small subunit ribosomal RNA", at positions 524 to 776 of the family's 1533-position model. The record is from RNAcentral.